GGGGAGUCUACACUGCAGUUCGAACGAAGCACUUAAGAAUGAUUCCUUCGGAUGAAGUCUUAUUUGACUGAGUGGCGGACGGGUGAGUAACGCGUGGGUAACCUACCUCACACAGGGGGAUAACAGUUGGAAACGACCGCUAAUACCGCAUAAGCCGACAGUAUCGCAUGAUACAGACGGAAAAGAUUUAUCGGUGUGAGAUGGACCCGCGUCUGAUUAGCCAGUUGGCAGGGUAACGGCCUACCAAAGCGACGAUCAGUAGCCGGCCUGAGAGGGUGAACGGCCACAUUGGGACUGAGACACGGCCCAAACUCCUACGGGAGGCAGCAGUGGGGAAUAUUGCACAAUGGGGGAAACCCUGAUGCAGCGACGCCGCGUGAGUGAAGAGGUAUUUCGGUAUGUAAAGCUCUAUCAGCAGGGAAGAAAAUGACGGUACCUGACUAAGAAGCCCCGGCUAACUACGUGCCAGCAGCCGCGGUAAUACGUAGGGGGCAAGCGUUAUCCGGAUUUACUGGGUGUAAAGGGAGCGUAGACGGUGAUGCAAGUCAGAAGUGAAAGCCCGCGGCUCAACUGCGGGACUGCUUUUGAAACUGUAUAACUAGAGUGCAGGAGAGGUAAGCGGAAUUCCUAGUGUAGCGGUGAAAUGCGUAGAUAUUAGGAGGAACACCAGUGGCGAAGGCGAUUCUCUGGGCCAAGACUGACGCUGAGGCGCGAAAGCGUGGGGAGCAAACAGGAUUAGAUACCCUGGUA
RNAcentral lists this ribosomal RNA (750 nucleotides) under uncultured bacterium. RNAcentral's name for it is "bacterial SSU rRNA". It matches the Rfam family "Bacterial small subunit ribosomal RNA", at positions 41 to 792 of the family's 1533-position model. The record is from RNAcentral.